GCGGAUUCAAGGCGCAAGCCUGACGAGCACGCCGCGUGAGUGAAGAAGGUUUUCGGAUCGUAAAGCUCUGUUGUUAGAGAAGAACGUGUGUGAGAGUGAAAAGUUCACCCUUUGCCGGAUACUUACCAAAAGGGGACGGUUAAUUCCUUGCCACCACCCCCGGAAUAAA
RNAcentral lists this ribosomal RNA (169 nucleotides) under uncultured Streptococcus sp. RNAcentral's name for it is "partial 16S ribosomal RNA". It matches the Rfam family "Bacterial small subunit ribosomal RNA", at positions 357 to 524 of the family's 1533-position model. The record is from RNAcentral. Lineage: Bacteria; Bacillati; Bacillota; Bacilli; Lactobacillales; Streptococcaceae.